Podarcis lilfordi (Lilford's wall lizard) is the source of this 6464-nucleotide non-coding RNA. The record is from the annotation of a GenBank genome assembly. Lineage: Eukaryota; Metazoa; Chordata; Lepidosauria; Squamata; Lacertidae.
CACUUGCUGUGGAAUCAAUUUACUCCAUAUGUGCCUACUCAACCACUUUGAUUUGUGGAACUGGUAUUGUUACUGUUGCAACAUAAUACUCAUUCUGUAGCUGUAAAAAAUGGUGGCACCAACACUUUGCAAUUCCCUGCCCAUUGACAUCAGGGAGGUGCCUUCACUGUGAUUUUUGGGGGGUAUCUGUUUAAAACAUCUUUCUUUUGGCAUGCAAAGCCAGACAUGUAGAUAUUGGUGUGUUUUAAUAUUUUUUUACUGUUAGUUUUAAUUAUUUUUCAAUGGUUUAAACUGGGGUUUUUUUUUAAUUCAUAAUUGUAAUAUUUCUUGUAAACUGCUUAGAGGUUAUUUUGUUAAAUAAAAAUAAAUAAAUAGAAGGGAUCUACUGUUAUUCCUAUAGAAACCCCCAGUCAGACAUUUGAGUCCUAGGGAGAAACAAAGCUAAAUGAAGCUGAAGGAAACUGUAGUCUUUGAACACUUUUGAAGAGCUGAAGUGGAGUCUUCCUAUGGCAUCAGAAUCCACUGUUAGCAUAGGAAAGCAAAUUUUUGCAAUGAGAAUGACAUAAGAUCCUUACUAUUUACAUCAAAAGCUGAUGAAAAUACGACUACUGGUGGUUAUUUAUUUAUGGCUUCUGAAUGAAGAUUUUAUUUUUGUGGCUGAAAAUACUCUAGCGUCUAUAUUGGCCAGGGUUUUUUUUAGCCAGCAGGUGUGCUGCUUACUGAUAUGGGCAUGGAAUUUGAUGAUGAGUGUGCAUUUGGGAUUGCCACCGGUGAGAAGUCCUGGCUAAUGAGGGCCUUUUUUCUACAAAUCAAUUAGCAGAGUACCAUGCAGAAGACAUAUUCCCCCAUCUGCUUAUUACACUGCUAGACUGUGCUGUUUAGCACAUUUGCUUUGGGGAGCCUUGGUUACAUCUUAACAAGAGGAUAAUGAAAAUUCUGUUCACAGGAAAUUAUGUUUUAGUGGGUUUGCACUGCUUCCACUUGCUGGCUCCCCCCCCCACUAAACUGUCCAAUAUUUUGAAGACGGAUAAAUGUUUUUUAAAAAAAUAUUCAAUUUCACUUGCCUAUGGAAUUACCUUACCAACAUAGUUAAUACAUUUCUGCAAUAGACAAAUGGAAUUUGGUAGAGAUAAUUAUAGGCACUAACUAAAUAGAAAAGUUGGAUAAUUUUGUAAUACUUAUAUGUUUCAUUUUUUAUUUACAGCAACUAGCCCAAUAUCUUUCUAAAAUGUGUGUGUGUGCAUCACACACAUGAUAAAGCAUAGUGAAAUGCCUUCUAAUUCUUUCAGUUAAAACUACUUUUAUGGUUUUAUCAUUCUUUCACAUUUAAAUUAGCAAAUCCAUUUGGCUUCCUUAUUCUCCCUUUUUAAGAGGUAUGGUUCUAAUACUGUGAAUUUUGAAUACAUUAAGACUAUACAGCUCAAUUCUGGUGCUUUGUAUAAACUGUGUAGAAUUCAUUAAUGUGCAGCUAAUUUAUCCACUGUUAACAUUCAGUGAUUUAGAUUUUCCUUCCAUUUUAGUUUUCCUGCAUGUUGUUAUGCAUGUUGUUAUGCCAAAUACAUUCUUCACAGUAUCCUAAUUAAUAAUAACCAUUCAGUAUUGAUUUGAAUGUAUGGAUUUUUGUUUCUGUUUACUUAAUUCUAAUAAUUAUUGUUCAGCUGAAUUAUAUUUAAGAUGCAAAAUUAAUCUUGAAGGCAAUCUUUUCAGAAAACAAUCUAUGAUUACAUAUCCAAUUAUCUACUCUGUAUUUUUUAAAGUGGUUUGUUUAUUUUUUUGAUUCUCUUAACAUUAUUCUCAAUACAUUUGGAUGCCUCUUGAAAUAUUGUCAUCAGCUGGGGUGGCAGACUUGGUUGCUGGGUGGACACUGGGCAAACUUCUGAAUCCAGACGGUGGAACAAAAUGUCACUUUGGUGUGACUCUGCCCAUUUUUUUGCCACCUCUCAGUAUAUCAUGGGGACGCGGGUGGCACUGUGGGUUAAACCUCAGCGCCUAGGACUUGCCGAUCACAUGGUCGGCGGUUCAGAUCCCUGCGGCGGGGUGCGCUCCCGUCGUUCGGUCCCAGCGCCUGCCAACCUAGCAGUUCGAAAGCACCCCCGGGUGCAAGUAGAUAAAUAGGGACCGCUUACCAGCGGGAAGGUAAACGGCGUUCCGUGUGCUGCGCUGGCUCGCCAGAUGCAGCUUGUCACGCUGGCCACGUGUCUGCGGACAGCGCUGGCUCCCGGCCUAUAGAGUGAGAUGAGCGCACAACCCUAGGGUCUGUCAAGACUGGCCCGUAUGGGCAGGGGUACCUUUACCUUUACCUUAAUAUAUCAUGGCCAAGCUCAGCACAAGUGUUCCUGUCAGGUACCAUUUCGAAAUGAUGUUAGUUGUUCAGGGUGAACAUGCGUCUCAAUUCACACAACAAAAAGGCACACAACAUUGUUUUGCUCUCACAUUUUUGUACUAGAGAAACAAUAUGACAAGUUCAGUGCAAGUUGCUUUUAUAGCUUUUAUGUAUGUAUAUUGUUUGCUUUUAAAAUGCUUAAAAGUGGCUCUGCAAUUUCAUUUUACUCACUGGAUAGAUUAAUCAAUUUAAUUAGCUAAAAAAAGGUAUCCACACAGGGGGUGUGUGUGUGUAUUCAAAUUCAAGUGCUUAUAUAAACUGAAACUAGCAAGCACCAUUCACCAUUCCCUUUCUCUCACUUAGAAUGGAGGGGAUGCAUUUUCUAAAAUGGUGUGAUAUAUGUGUUAUCUUAAAAACUAAAGGUAGCAUCUAGUUGUGGCAGUCAUUCAACACCCAUUUUUAGCAUACCACAACAGCCAAAUACAAUAGUUGUUCUGAACACGUGAAGGUUGUUACACAACCCCUAGUGCAACCAUUAUUUUACUUCAUGUCAGGUGAACUUUGUGUGCAGCCUGUAGUGCUGCAGCUCAUACAACUUAAAUGUUACUGUUUGUUGUAGAUGCAGUGUAUAAAUCACAUUUCUGGCUUGUUCUUAUCAGUUCUAAGUAGUUCCAAAUAUACCGGUACUUUCUAUGAUGAAAAAUUAAAAUGGCACCUAUAGACAUAUGCCAGAAACGGGUGUUCAUACCAGUUUUCAUGUAUUCUUCACAGUUGCUCCAUUUUUAUAUUUGUUUUCAGUGAUUCGGGUAGGCUCAUUUUCUGCCCUAGCACUGAAGGUCUGCAGGCUUUGCUUCACAGCCACUUAAUUGCUUAGGUCUUUGUUCCUGCACCCAAGAUUAGAGGUAACCAUUGAAUGUGAAGUCUUCAGUGCCCAUUGAUAUACAGCAUGCAGCCUUAGAAGUAGGAUGAAUUUGUCUGGCUUCAUGGCUGCAUGCUGUUCACUUCAAUUUUCCAUUAAAUGGCAAUUUAAAGACAUGGCUCCAGGCCGAUGCAGGAGAGAGUUAUAAAAAGAGUUUCAUUAACAGUUCAAAGUAACAUAAUUUGAAGCUGAGUAGGUUGUAGCCCACCCUAUUUUUUGUCAGCAUUUAUCAUUUCCAUUGACUUGCAAAUCAGAGCAUAUUUCAUCUUGAGGAAAGGGAUCCAGAGUUUAAGAAUCUAGAUUAAAUUUAUGUGUCUUGGGGCCAAGUCAUUAAAUAAAGGACAGGUGACAAUUCAGGUAUGCCUGUAUAUGUGUUUUUCUAAAAAAUGAAUACUGUAUCAAGUUGGCAUCACUCAUGUCCAGCCGAGACAGAUUCCCUACCUGAUCACGUAGCGGACUAUUGUUUAUUAUUGUUGUAUAUUUUUUAUUUCUUCCCAUGUGGCAUCCCAAAGCAAUUUACAAUAUAAUAAAAACUCAUAUAAAACAGUUACAAACAAAAAAAACCAGUUAAAACAAUUGUGUGUGGGGGGGGAAUUCAGUGUCAUACUCUUCCAGUCGUUCCUACUGUACAAACAUUACUAUCUUGCCCACAUGCUGUUCUGGUCAUUCUCCCAACACACACCAUUUCAGGGGGGGAGGGGGAGAGGGGAAGCCCUUUUGCACAAGCAGAAGUCCUUGUGCAGGGCUUCCACUGACAGGGCUUAUUAGGUGAAUCUCGACCAUUGCUAUUUUAAAAGAAAGCAAUUGUGUAUAGAAAACAGUUUAAAACAGCAGCAGAAAAUACAUAAUAUCAAUUCACAUCCAGUACAGAUAUCAGCUGGGAAAUCUCCAAUUAGAAGGCUUAUUGAAAAAGUAAUGUAUUUAGCAGGCACAGAAAAGACAGCAGAGAAGGUACUGGGAGGGUGUUACCACACUAAAAUCCUGAUUCUCACAUCAUGUAGAAGAGGCCUGCUGAUAAGACAGAUGCUUCCUCCUGCAGAGUGUAGUGAUCAGUUGCGUAUGUAAGCUAUGAAGCAGUUCUUUUACAUAUCCUGGUUCCAAACCAUAUAAUGCUUUGUUCAACACCAACACCUUGAACUUUUCCCAGUAACUGGUUGGUAGCCAGUGCAAUUCUUUCAGUAUUGAUGCAACAUGAUGGCAAUCGGGUGCCACCUUGAAUAAAAUAUUGGGGGGCCCAGGUAAGCCCCACCCCACAUAAGUGAUCACAGGAUGUGCAUACACACCAUUUGAAUGGCAAUGUUCGUCACCUUUGGGGGGCCCAGCCCCCUCAAAUACUUUAUUGAGAGGCGAAGACUCCUCAGCCCUUAGGUGUUUGCUCCUAUGAUGGUUGUAUUCUGUCCCAGUGGGCAGUCCCAACUGCUGCAUUUUGCAGUAGUUGCAGCUUCCAGGUCAGCCACGAGGUACCCGCACAUGGAACAUAUGACAGUAAAGAUGUAAGCAGGUAUGAGGUGUGCACAAGAUACAUGCUAGGUUAUCAAAGAAGAAUAAAAUGGUGGGUGCCCAAUACAUUUAUUCAUAAUUUCCUUCUCUUUACUACUGCUUGUCACAUUUUCAGUACAGUUGGAAUGGAGUCGAGGAUCCAUAUAGAAAGAUCCUUGAUGGGGCCUAGCAUUUUGCUUUGGAUCUGCCAGUUGUGUAAGAAUAGCAGUUGAUCCAAGCCCCAUUUUCAUUUUGCCCAGUGCACUAAAUAGCAAUGAUAUGCUGUAGCUAAACUUUCAUGCAUUUCUGGAGUACAUUAGCUAAUCUGACUAAUGUUCUUUGGGGGGGGGAGAAGCAUGUUCUUUUGAAGGAAAAUUACAGGUUCCAGCAAUUCCCUUGCCCUCCUUUUUACAUCUGCCUGUUUGAAAGGGUAGCUUUCUUGAUACAAAGAGCAUCCCUAACAGUCUUCAGCUCAGAACGAUUUUAUGUCACAGUGUCUUGACCUUUCCCUGGGAAAAAUAUUACCUAAAAAGGAAAAGAAAUGUGGUUUCCUUCGGGGCUUUAAAGAUUCCAGUGAUCAUUGUCAGCUAACUAUCCUUUCUGCUUAAUGCGUUGUCAGGUUCCACUUACAAGAGCCAUGUAUUUGGUGCAUACCAUAUCUUAUGUUCCAACCUGCAAGGUAAAUUCCCCCCCUUUAACCUUUGUUGAUCUCUUUUGCCCAUGCAAAGGGUUUUACCAUGUAUAUAUUGAGUGCUUUUUUAUACAUAAAAAUGUUUAGAGGUACUUUAAUUUUCCUACUCAUAUUGAAAUCUGCCCCUCAAUGAGGCCAAACUUAGAUUCAUAAAAUGUUUAGGGGUAUGCGUACCCCUGCAUACCCCCAGAAAAAAGCACUGUAUAUUUUCUAUUUUACCUAAAAUACUUCAGAGAUUUACAGAAGUAAUGGCUGAAUUACCUUAGGCUUUGCCUUAUAAUUAAUUUUUUAAAAAUUUCUUUGCAGUUAGCAGUAUUGCAGGUUUUUUUUAUUUCUUUGCAGUUAGCAAUAUUGCAACACAUUUGAAACAAGCAAAACAAACACAAAGUCAUUCAACUUUCUACUAGCAUAUUUUACAGAAAUAUAGAGUAGAUGUGUAUGCAGAAUCAAUUUAGAUCCACUUUUUAAAGAUGCAGCUAAAAGCAAGCUACGCACACAUAGCCAUUUUUCAGCUGGGUAGGAAAUAAAUUCAUGAAGCAGUUAUUCAUUUUUGUGAUACUAAAACAGCAUUAGUAGUAACUAAUUAUCACUAUCACAACAUUUAUAUAAUUUGUUAAUUGCUGUUCAGGUUCUCCCUUUCUCUCCAGUUGCCAUGUCAGAUAAACAAGAAGGUUGCAAACACCUACACAUUUUGUAUCAUUUUAAUUAAUUUGCAUUGCACUCUAGCAGCAGGAGUCUGCUCAAUAAAUGUUAGCAAUGCUCUUUGAGGGAUUGAGUAGGCUGAUGUAUCAAAUAGGCUUUUUAUUUCUUGUUUUAAUGCUUGUAAGUCUACUGGACAGUAGACUUUACAUAGAAUAAUCAGGUUCUGACAUCAGGUUUGUGGCAUCAUGUUUACUUGGAGAUAAUUGGAUAAGGAUGAAUAUUUUUAUUUUUUUUUAAGGUUUAUCUCUAAAUAUACUCUAGCUGGGUUCAUUCAACAUAUUUGGCCAAUGAAUAAUAUGUUUUGGGUUUUUUUUUUUAAAAAAAUAAUAUUUAUUACUUUUAUAGAUUAC